UCGUGUAUUCAAAGUUAACAUAGCUUUAUUCUUGAAAGUUAUUGUAAAUCAUGCUUGAGUAGUUCAUAUCGUGCCUAACUAGAUGGGUGCACAUAUUAAUCGUGUUUAGAGGCAUAAAGUGUCCUAUCAUAUUAUCUCAUAAAGUCAGAACAUAAUUAACACAAUGCUUAUCGAUAUUAGUUUUCAAAACUUCCAAGUUUUCUUUAAAAAACAUUCUAAACAACAUAUUAUAUAAAAAGCAAUUUGAAACCACAUUUCAUACCCAUUUGUACACAUAACUAAACCAUACACAUAUGCUAAAAAGGUCAUAACUCAAAGGACAAGAGGCUCAUCAAGGUUUGUUUUUAAAGCUUCUGUGUUUUCCUUGAAAAAUCGAUACUAAACCAUGCUAAAGUAAUAUAUUACAUGCACGAUAACUUGAAUCAUCAUAUCAGACUUAUUUAUGAAUCUAACUAGGUUAUACUCAUAUGCUCAGAACAUCAGAAGCAACAAAAAUUCAUUUUCAAGGGCUGGCAGCCGGCGCGACCGCGUUGGUUUGUACUAGGGAAGUGGCGCGGCCGCCUCACUUCGGGACAGGUCCAGACUGCGCUCUUUUUCUGCAAAAUCCCAUAACAUAAACCAAUUAGGCCUUCUAAUUUGUAACUCAGACAGCCAUAUUGCUUCUUAAACAUACAUAAGAACUCAGAUAACAUGUUGACAUCAAUUCCUUAAUCAAUUAACAAGUAAUUCAUGAAAUUUUUAGGAAUUUAUCAAACUCACAAAAUUAUACAUUCUUUCAUUAUGACCACAUAAUCAUUAUGCUUUCACCAUUCUAUACUUGAUUUAUGCUUACAGAAAUGUAGAGUAAUUAGAAUUAAGUACCUUAGAUGAUUUUCCUUAAUUAAUAGUAUGUUUCUUCUUCUUAUUGCCUUACCAAAAGCAAGAGUUGCUCUUGAAAUUCUCCUUAUCUCUCAACUCACACUAAAUCUCUCUAUAUCUCAGCAAAAUGUAGCAGCCUUGAAUCAUGAAGGGGGACUCCUACUUAUAGAAAAAUCAUUACUCAACAAUCUAGUUAUUAACCAAAGGAAAAAAGGGAAAUUGGUGUAAAGCUUCACCAAAUCUCCACCUUUAUGAUGAUUAGCCCACAUGGGAUUUCUUGCAAACAAUUUUAGGGAAGAAUUUCCAGCAUUUUGUUCAUAAGGAAGAGCUUGGUAAAGUAGGGAGAUAGGCCAUUGGCCUAUACACGACUGAAGCAAAUUUUGGGACUAUGAUUAUGGGACAAGAGCUUUAACUUACUGCAUUAGCAAAAUGGAUACUAGCAUUUUUAAUGUGGGUUUCUAUUUGGCUCACAAGGUCAAAUUUAAUGACUUAACAUUAUUACCUUAUGUUAAGUUAUGGGCACAUAUACACAUAUAUACAUCUAUACCAAUAUACACCCACAUCAAUGUAAGUAUACUUAUUUUUUUAAAUAUACACCAAUACAUAUAAUCAUAUAAUCUAUGUACAUUGGGUUAGUCCAAAUAAUAUUUGAAUUGGGCUAAAUGGACUUACUUAUACACAUUGGCUUUAAUUAUUAAUCCAACACAUCAUGCCUUAAUUGUUGUCACAAUAUUAUCCUCCCAACAUGCUUAUUUUUCUAAUUACACAUAACUAUAAAAAUUAAUAAUUAAUAUCAAACAUUUAUUUUCUCAGAAUUUAUUCUCUUCCAUAAUUUUAAAAUACAAAUUUAUUGAUUCACCAUAAAUCAUUAUGUAACACAAGGCUCAAUUAUUCAAGCUUAAGCUUCUUAUCAUAAUAUAAUCUUACUUGGUGAUUAUUCAUAUAUUAUAAUCUUACUCUUAAUAUCCCUUCUUAUAUUACAUGUAGGAGGCAAUUUAUUGCAUUAACUAUUUAUAUGAUCACACAACACAUAAUUUUCACAUAACAAAUAAAUAAUUAAAAAUAAAACAAUAAUUAAUCUAUCACAUUAUUUAAUCAUUUUGUCAUUAAUUAAAUUAACAAAUUACUUAGUCCACAUUUAUGCCAUACUUGACACACCACAUAAGCUUAAAUAAGCUCAUUAUCGUUUCCACCACAUUUCUAAAUUAUCACAUACUUCAUUCAAUUUAAUUUGAAUACCACAUUUCAAGACACGCAUAAAUAUAUAUGUAUUCAACAUAAAUAUUCAAAUAUUUUUAUUUUCAUUACUAAUAUUAUUAUUAAAAAAUUCACGGGUAUUACAUAGCACGCGCCAGGCGUCUGACAAGUCGAGCACGUUUUCCAAAAAGACGCAUUUUUGACCAGAUUGUUUUCUUUAAAUAGAUUUCUUUCCAUAUUUUUAGGGAUUCUUUGUAUCUUUUAUAUUUCUAAUGUAAUUAGGAUUCUAUUAGAUAGGGUAUGGUUACUAAAUUAAGGUAUUGAUUCUUUAUAGGAUUCUAGGGUUUCAAGUUAUGAUUAUUUAAAAGGCCUAUUGAUGUAAUUGACAUUAUUCAUUCAAUAUUAUUCAGAUGUAUUCUAUUUUUGAGAUUAUUCUUUACUUUUGGUUCUUUGAAGAAUUUCAAAGUAAUUUCUUAGUUUAUUCUUUGAUAUUCAAUUUGACUUAUCAUACAAAAAUACAUAGUUGUAUGUGGUGUCUUCUACCGCAUCAAUCGUCGAUUGUGUCGAGGUUCAUAUUUCAAUAUAAACACGGGAUUUAGGUGUCGUUGGUGUUCCAUUUAACACUGAUUUCAUUGCUUGAUCGAUUACACCAAGGUUUUCGUCUCAAUAUAGACAUUGGGUUGAAGUGUUGAGAGAGUACCACUUUAUCAUUUGUGAUAGAAACGAUUCGGGCGACGACCAUCUAACGCAAAUGUGUCAUGGAGUCUAUCAGAUGGGCCCCGUGGGUCCCGUCAUCUCAAAGUUUAUUCCUCCGAUCUCGAUCCGGUGAAAGUUGAGCUUCGUACCCAAAAAUUCCAAAAAGCUUGUGCCGAAGGCUACUAAAUAAGGUUGAGUCUGACUGAAUCGGAGUCCGGUAAGAUGGCGUAAUUAGCUGAAAGGUAUCUUCCAAUUCUCGAGGGUUGUCAAUCGGCUCGACUUGACCAGCUUGCAGCUCAAUGAUUAUUGUGGUGACUUUCUUGUGGUCAUGUCUUCAGCUUGUCGAUCCUCGUUCGGACCAUGUCUUGUCUGGGCAUCGUUGCACUUCAAUUUUUCCACGGGGUUGUCUCUGGGGUGAAAUUAUGUCUCUUCCCUCCCUCGAGGUUGUCUCUGAAGUAAAAUUACAUUUUUACCCUUUUGCAAGGUUAGUCCAAGAAAAGAGAAAUUUCGAGUGUCUACAAAGGAUGACCUGACAUAUCUACUGUAGGAUCAUGGGUAUGACAUACAUUUAUAAUUUGAAGCACCCAAGGUUGCCCAACCCUUUUCCUUCCGCAAACUUUAAAAAGACAAUCUAUUGGAUGGCAUGAUACCUUUCUUUUAUGACUUUCUAUCAGAAUAUUUUGUUUAUCCCGAUAAGUACCUCCUCUAUCACAACCAAUAAUCACAAGAUGAUCUUUAACAAAAAAAAAUUAUCGAUGUUGUGUAACCUUGCAUUAAGACAUGUUUGAAUCAUUCCAAUUAAAUCUUCACGUGUUUGAAAUUUGAUCUCUGGAAGUUGUAACGCUCCAUCUAGCUUAUCAAUUUUAUCUUCACACUCCAUAUUUGCACUAGGUAAGUAAUCAUCAUUGGCUAAACAGUUUUCUGAUUUUUUGUUUGCUCCAUAACUCUCCAUGUUUAUAGUUCAAAUCCUACUAAAAUCGGAAUUUAUAAUUAUCAAAUAGGAUGAAAAAGGAGCUCUCCUAAACAACAUUAUGUUUAGAUGAAUUCUUACAAAGAAUAAAAAAUGAUUUAGACAAACUCAAUGCAUAAGAAGCAAAUCAUAUAAUAAAAAUGAUUCAGGCAAACUAAUUGAACUAAAUACAUAAGAAGUAAAUCAUAUAAUAAAAAUGAUUCAGACAAAUUAAUUAAACUAAAUACAUAAGAAGUAAAUUAUCAAUAUGAAUUUUAAUAAGCUUACAUCCCUCAUAUUAUCAAAAAAAAAAAGUUAGGGUUUAUAGUAAAAAAGGAUUGUUCAGGGAGAAAUACUUUAUCUAUUUUAAACUAAAAUAUUACCUCAAUUAUAAAUAAUAAUAAAAAACACAAAAAUCCAUGAAUAAAGUUCAAAAAUUAAAGAGCUAAAUAUGGGAUAUAUGUGAAUUUUUUACCUCAAACUGAACCAAAUUAAAGAAGAGAAAAGAGUUUGAUUUUCAAAUCAAGAUCAUCGAACGAAAAGCUUAGAUCUGUUACAAUACAAAGGCACAUAAAACUCUGUUUGGAAGAGAGAGAUAGAGAGACAAAAAGUUAACGAACAGAGGGAGAAUUAGUUUAGAAACCUGUCACGAACUAGCAAUCUCCUUCUCAUAGUGGAAAAUCAUCCGAUGUUGGGCUAUAGAUUCAUUUCUUCUGUAAAUUCAAUCUCAGCAAAACAGAGAACAAAGGAAAUCUCAUCUCACCUAACUCUUUUGUACACCAAUUAGACCCAAACAUCGAAAUGUUAGGUGAGGACAAUUUGGUAAAACGAAUUUUGUAUUAUUGUUAACUUAUUACAGUUGUCUCAACCAUA
RNAcentral lists this long non-coding RNA (4573 nucleotides) under Panax ginseng (ginseng). RNAcentral describes it as "long non-coding RNA (PGIN_LNC002269)". Lineage: Eukaryota; Viridiplantae; Streptophyta; Magnoliopsida; Apiales; Araliaceae. The record is from RNAcentral.